AUGGCGGCUGAGGAGCUCCCUGUUCAGAUCGCGAUGGCCGCCGAGGAGCUCCCUGUUCCUGACUCGCCGCCUUCCACCCGUUCCACCGACAGCUGUCUGCGGGCGCUUGCACGGGAAGAUUACUAUGUAAUACUGAUUCCCCAUUCCCACAUCUUUGCCCUCAUGCUGCAAGCUCUCAAGUUGCCCCCUGCGAUUUACCAUCACAAGACAUAUCCGGGCAACGAGUCUCGUGUGACGGUUACUUUUAAUUCGUCGUUACAGUUGUUCGAUGGUUUGCUUGUCCCAACCUCGAUAGCUGGUGUGGUCUCAAACAACUAUGAUGAAGCAGAAGACAGUGCUGCUAUCGCAGCCAUUAGGUUUAUGGAGGAGGCAUGUGGCAAAGAAAUCAGGGACUAUCACUACACCCACGUAAAGAAGCUGGAAAAUCAAGUGACACACCUGGUCAAGUUGCUGGUUGCAGCAAACAAGACAAUAAAGAAGGUCCGCAAAUGA
Molecule: ribosomal RNA, 492 nt
Filed under: Triticum aestivum (bread wheat)
Lineage: Eukaryota; Viridiplantae; Streptophyta; Magnoliopsida; Poales; Poaceae
Description: partial small subunit ribosomal RNA
Source: RNAcentral